AUUGAACGCUGGCGGCAGGCCUAACACAUGCAAGUCGAGCGAGCGGCGGACGGGUGAGUAAUGUCUGGGAACCCGCCUGCUGGAGGGGGAUAACUACUGGAAACGGUAGCUAAUACCGCAUAUCAUCAGGUGUGCCCACAUGGGAUUAGCUAGUAGGUGGGGUAACUGCUCACCUAGGCGACGAUCCCUAGCUGGUCUGAGAGGAUGACCCGCCACACUGGAACUGAGCCGCGGUCCAGACUCCUACGGGAGGCAGCAGUGGGGAAUAUUGCGCAGUGGGCGCAAGCCUGAUGCAGCCAUGCCGAGUGUGUGAAGAAGGCCUUCGGGUUGUAAGGCACUUUCAGCGGGGAGGCGUUACCCGCAGAAGAAGCACCGGCUAACUCCGUGCCAGCAGCCGCGGUAAUAC
Molecule: ribosomal RNA, 406 nt
Filed under: uncultured bacterium
Lineage: Bacteria
Description: partial 16S ribosomal RNA
Rfam family: Bacterial small subunit ribosomal RNA
Source: RNAcentral